GCUAAACAACAUCGUGUGCGGGGGCGGUCUGCUGGUACGUCGAGAUACAGGGGGAGCUCUUGCAGACUCACUUGAAGUUUGGAGCUCGAUGCAAGCUCACAGCCAGAGAUUCAAGGCGCAACAACGUAGCUAUGGACGAUGAAGUGCCAGGAGCUGCUUCCAUGCUCAAGAACACAGUGGAUGCAUGCUGAUCCACGGAGAGAGCAUUUUUGUGGCAAUCCAGGUCUAUUCUGUGAUCUAGGGGGCAACAUUGACAAUGUAGUAGAUGGGCAGGAGAAAGGAUGUAGCCCGGAAGAUAUUUUGGCGGUAAUCUGUUGUUACACAGGAGAAAAAAAAGUGUUUUGCUGAUUAUCUGGAAUAAAUUAGAGAUGUACGCUGAUUAUGCAUGCUCAAGAAUCCUUUAACA
Long non-coding RNA from Triticum aestivum (bread wheat), 406 nucleotides. RefSeq lists it as uncharacterized. The record is from RefSeq and is a predicted model, not a curated record. The transcript is spliced from 2 exons. NCBI's taxonomy places the organism in Eukaryota, Viridiplantae, Streptophyta, Magnoliopsida, Poales, Poaceae.